AACGCACAUUGCGCCCGCCAGCAUUCUGGCGGGCAUGCCUGUUCGAGCGUCAUUUCAACCCUCAGGCCCUGCCUGGCGUUGGAGGACUGCGCACGCAGCCUCCCAAAGCGAGCGGCGGCGGCGCCCCGAAACCGAACGCAGUAGUUACCUCUCGUUCUGGGUCCGGGUCGUUGUCCUGCCGGAAAACCCCCUUCUAAUCAAUGGUUGACCUCGAAUCAGGUAGGAAUACCCGCUGAACUUAA
RNAcentral lists this unclassified non-coding RNA (242 nucleotides) under uncultured fungus. RNAcentral describes it as "sequence contains ITS2". Lineage: Eukaryota; Fungi. The record is from RNAcentral.